This is a long non-coding RNA of Astatotilapia calliptera (eastern happy), 1755 nucleotides long. The record is from Ensembl. NCBI's taxonomy places the organism in Eukaryota, Metazoa, Chordata, Actinopteri, Cichliformes, Cichlidae.
GUCAUUUUUACUGCAGGUAGACACAUACAAAUGUGCACCAUUCUACUUUUGCACCCAGUGACCUCAGUGCCUUUGCUAUAGCAUCCCUGUGCAGUGCACAUUUCUUUUCGUUAUAGUAGUUUGCAGAGCUCUUCAGACGAAACGCCUCUGUUAUAGGGUUUGAUUCAGAAGAGAUCUAAAUCAUUUUGCAUGCCACAUAUUACAGUGAGAGAAAAUAGUUGAUCUGCUGCUGAAUUUGUAAGUUUGGUCAAGAAAUGAAUAGUCUCUAUAUUGAUAGUUUCAUUUUGAUAGAGAGGGACAGAAUAUCAAUCAAAAAUCCAGAAAAUCUAUUUUGAAAGUUAUGGAUUGAUUUGUACGUCAUUGAGUAAAAUCAGUAAUUGAUCCUCUAUAAAGUAGCCAGAGUUCUGAUUGGCUGUGUACCCAUGCAAUACACAGAUUACAGAUUGUCAGUCAGAUACUCCUGAUCUCAACACAUACGUUGAGAUCAGGAAUGAACAUUAGGGAUAAGAGACCUGCACAAUGCUGGAAUGGGCUACAGACAAUUAGCAAGAUCUGUUGGUGCGAGUAUUCAGAACUGGAAGAAAUACACUGCUCAGAAACAUUUUAAUCAGAUUCUAGCUUCAAGUCAAUGAAAUGUCUGAGAUAUUGAUCUCAUCAAUUAGUUCAGUUGUAUUUAUAUAGUGCAAAAUCCCAGGAGGAGUCGUCUCAAUGCGCUUUAUAUAGAAAGGUAAAGACCCUACAAUAAUAAUAAUAAUAAUAAAACAUACCACCAAGGCAACAAAGGUGUGGUUAAAGAAAAUUAAUGUCAUCGAGUGGCUUAGCCUCCCCCUCCCCCAGGAAAUCUGUGGAGGGAGGUGAUGCUUCAAGUUGUCGAGUGUAAUCCAAGAAACCAAAUAGUCUGGCUGACAUUCUGUCUCUACUACUAUAAAAUUAGAGACUGUUCUUUGGAAGUAAGCAAAGUUACAAAUUCAGACGAGUAUCAAAUAAUUUUCCUCUAGUGGAUUCAUUAUAUUGGAAUUAUACUCAAAAGAAAACGAGUCUUACCUGGCGGGCUUGACUAAACUAGUUUGUGUUUUCUAAUUUUUUUCCAACCUGUUCUGGCUGUGCGAAUAAAUAUGCGAAUAAACAUGCAAGGCAAGGCAAGGCAAAUUUAUUUGUAUAGCACAAUUCAACAACAAGGUGAUUCAAAGUGCUUUACAGAGACAUUAGAAACAAAAACAAAUAAAAAGCAUGAUUUAAAAUUGAUUAAAACAAGCAAACAAACAAACUAACUAAACACACACAUUUCACACCUGUUCGCGCGAUCUGAACCGUUUUCGUAAGGGGAGCUACCAGUCCUUCUGUGGACGAGCUACUUUCUAUUUUAAAUUCCCUGAAUUUAAAAUACUCUCUAGACCCAGUCUAGACCCAGCUGGGGAGCUACCCAGAGCUCUAAACCCACUUAACUAACAAACAAACAAACAAACAAACAAACAAACAAACAAACAAACAAACAAACAAACAAACAAACAAACAAACAGUAUAUAAAAUCCAAACAAACAAACAAACAAACAAUAAAAUCCAAACAAACAAACAAACAGUAUAUAAAAUCCAAACAAACAAACAAACAGUAUAUAAAAUCCAAACAAACAAACAAACAAACAGUAUAUAAAAUACAACCAAACAAACAAACAGUAUAUAAAAUACAAACAAACAAACAAACAGUAUAUAAAAUCCAAACAAACAAACAGUAUAUAAAAUCCAAACAAACAAACA